UACGGGGGGAGCAAGCGUUGUUCGGAUUUACUGGGCGUAAAGGGCGGGUAGGCGGCCACCGCAAGUCAGUUGUGAAAUCUCUGGGCUUAACCCAGAAAGGUCAACUGAUACUGCGGGGCUAGAGUGCAGAAGGGGCGACUGGAAUUCUCGGUGUAGCGGUGAAAUGCGUAGAUAUCGAGAGGAACACCUGCGGCGAAGGCGGGUUGCUGGGCUGACACUGACGCUGAACUGCGAAAGCUAGGGGAGCGAACGGG
Molecule: ribosomal RNA, 254 nt
Filed under: uncultured bacterium
Lineage: Bacteria
Description: partial 16S ribosomal RNA
Rfam family: Bacterial small subunit ribosomal RNA
Source: RNAcentral